RNAcentral lists this ribosomal RNA (839 nucleotides) under uncultured bacterium. RNAcentral describes it as "bacterial SSU rRNA". It matches the Rfam family "Bacterial small subunit ribosomal RNA", at positions 8 to 834 of the family's 1533-position model. The record is from RNAcentral.
AGAGUUUGAUCCUGGCUCAGGAUGAACGCUAGCUACAGGCUUAACACAUGCAAGUCGAGGGGCAGCAUAGAAGUUAGCUUGCUAACUUCGGAUGGCGACCGGCGGAUGGGUGAGUAACACGUAUCCAACCUGGCCUUUACAAUGGGAUAGGCUUUCGAAAGAAAGAUUAAUACUGUAUGUUCCGUGAUCUCCGCGUGGAGAUUCCGGCAAAGAUUUAUCGGUAAAGGAUGGGGAUGCGUUCCAUUAGGCAGUAGGCGGGGUAAUGGCCCACCUAACCGACGAUGGAUAGGGGUUCUGAGAGGAAGGUCCCCCACAUUGGAACUGAGACACGGUCCAAACUCCUACGGGAGGCAGCAGUGAGGAAUAUUGGUCAAUGGGCGGGAGCCUGAACCAGCCAAGUAGCGUGCAGGAAGACGGCCCUAUGGGUUGUAAACUGCUUUUGAAGGGGAAUAACAGAAUCUACGUGUAGAUUUUUGCAUGUACCUUUCGAAUAAGCACCGGCUAACUUCGUGCCAGCAGCCGCGGUAAUACGAAGGGUGCAAGCGUUACUCGGAAUUACUGGGCGUAAAGCGUGCGUAGGUGGUCGUUUAAGUCCGUUGUGAAAGCCCUGGGCUCAACCUGGGAACUGCAGUGGAUACUGGGCGACUAGAGUGUGGUAGAGGGUAGCGGAAUUCCUGGUGUAGCAGUGAAAUGCGUAGAGAUCAGGAGGAACAUCCAUGGCGAAGGCAGCUACCUGGACCAACACUGACACUGAGGCACGAAAGCGUGGGGAGCAAACAGGAUUAGAUACCCUGGUAGUCCACGCCCUAAACGAUGCGAACUGGAUGNUGGGUGCAUUU